GCGAGCGAGGCCGGCGGGCGCCGAGUCCGCCCGAACCGGCGGCGGAAACACCCGAACGGCCCGCCGGAAAUACCCGAAGGCGGGGGCGGAAAGAGCCGAGCGCCGACGGAAAACAGCUGGGAAAGCCGCGCUCGGCAGCGCUGCCGUGGCGGAGAUGGCCGAGGCGGGCCGGAGAUGGCCGAGUCUGGACGAAGAUGGCCGAGGCGGGGCGGAGCCACCCGAGCCGGGGCGGAGAUGGCCGAGUGGCAACGGAAAUGGCCGAGCGUGAGGGGGCCGGUGAAGCUCCGGCAGGGCCUGGGGCUCGUCCCUCAGGGCCCCUUUGUGCCCACGGGAUGUAGAAACUUGGACUUUGUGCCACAAAACGGGCUCUGGGGGUCUCCGGGUCUGUCGGGAGCCCCCGCGUCCCUCGCGGUGCUGGUCCCAGGGUUCCCUCCUGCCGUCGCUGGUGUGUCCUGAGGCAGCCCGGCCCUGUCCCCGUUCCCACUGGUGGGGCCAGCGCUGCCCAGGUCCUGUUCUGACGGGUCCUGAGGGAGCUUCAGCCACGAUAGCACGGAAUCAUUCAGUUGAAUCAAACAGUGGGAAUUGAAAGCAGCUGUUCCUCAGUGACUGCGCAGGAACGAGCGAGUGGCAGCUGAAGUCAACCACGUCGGAGCAAAACGCCUUCCAUUUCCAGGCAAAGUCAGAGGGAGGGCGUUGGAAAAAGGGACAAAUCAAAGGAAAGUGUUUUCUGCUCCCAGGUGUUGUUGUGCUGCCAUGAAUUAUUCACCGCCUGUGGUGAUGCUCUGAUGGUUGUUUUGCAGGUAGGAAGAGGGAGAGAGUCCCCAGCUUGUAUCACACAGCCCCCACCUGGCUCCUGGAAGAGAGGAACCAUCCAGGGAGCCCAUCCUGGCCGGGCUCCAUCCCAGGCAAGUCACCACCUGCACCCCAGGGACCUCACCCCGUGCCAUGAGGGUGGAGGUGGCACCUGGCCCAGAAAUAUCUGUUAUUUCCCCAUUUUUCUUCUCCCUUGCUGAUUCAUCAAGACUCAAUUUCCAGGAAACCUUCAAAACUAGACUUUUGGAUCUGUCCAUGAUGCAGAAGAAAGAAUGUUUUUGAUGUUUUAUCUGAUGUUUUGGGGUUUUUAAGGGCCUUUUCGGGCUGGGACAGGCAGUGUGUUGAUGAAGGAGAGGUGCCUGCGGGUCUCUCCUGUGACAGGGACAGGACCAAGCAGGUCCCUCUUUGCUCCAUGGUGCUGUUCAGCCUGGACCUGGAGGGAAUGCUCAUGGGGUAGCAAGGGCUACAGGUUUGAAAAAGGACUGAUUUAAGGGCAGAGAGGAGGUGAAGACCCUCCCAAAAACAGGGCGUCUGUUUGAUGCAACAUGCCCCUCAUGCUCUCAUUGCUCCAGGUCUGCAUCAGCAGGAGGUGGCCAGGCCCAUGCCAAGGGUGGGGUGAUGAUCCUCACCCCCGUGUCUGAACUCUUCCCUCACAUUCCCUGCCUCUUCUCCCUCUCCAUGGGAAUAUCCUGUUACCCCUGAGAGCUGCUGGGGUCUCCUCCACCCACCACAUCCACGAGUUGCCCAAAGCCAAAGCAGCCAAACCACGUCAGGGAGGAGGGAAUUCCUUUAAUGAGCCAAACAUCGCAGGGAAAACCUGAAAAGAAUAACUUAAGGUUUCAAACCAAGUUGCAGGUGUCUUAUUUAAUACCAGGCUUAGGCACACACACGGAGACCAAGGAGUGGUGGCUCACGUGGAAACAUCCCAUGGAAAGGACCCGGAUGGAGGAAUCUCGCUCUUCCUGGUGCUCAGAUGGGUUCAAACUUUUCCAAGAGCCUGGGAGACAAGCAGGAAAGGGCUCAAUGCAAUGAGUUUGUGUGAGAGUGCUCCUUCCCAGAUAAACCCAAAAUGUCAACAGCUGUCAUUCCAUACCAUUAAAAAAGAGUUUCAUGUGCAAAUAGUUUGGUGAAGAAUUAAAUCUGGCAGGGUUUGCCACCCAACCAUCUCUGUUGCUGAGCUGAUGAACAGAAACUGGAGAGAAAUGGAUUAAAAAGAAAAUAAAAAGGAUGCUGAACAUUCAAA
Long non-coding RNA from Neopelma chrysocephalum (saffron-crested tyrant-manakin), 2056 nucleotides. RefSeq lists it as uncharacterized. The transcript is spliced from 2 exons. The record is from RefSeq and is a predicted model, not a curated record. NCBI's taxonomy places the organism in Eukaryota, Metazoa, Chordata, Aves, Passeriformes, Pipridae.